Molecule: ribosomal RNA, 292 nt
Filed under: uncultured bacterium
Lineage: Bacteria
Description: partial 16S ribosomal RNA
Rfam family: Bacterial small subunit ribosomal RNA
Source: RNAcentral
GUGCCAGCAGCCGCGGUAAGACAGAGGGUGCAAACGUUGUUCGGAAUGACUGGGCGUAAAGCGCAUGUAGGCGGCUCCGCAGGUCGGAUGUGAAAUCCCUCGGCUCAACCAAGGAAGUGCAUUCGAAACCGCAGAGCUUGAGUCCUCGAGAGGAAGGUGGAAUUCUCGGUGUAGAGGUGAAAUUCGUAGAUAUCGAGAGGAACACCGGCGGCGAAAGCGGCCUUCUGGAGAGUGACUGACGCUGAGAUGCGAAAGCAUGGGGAGCAAACAGGAUUAGAUACCCUCGUAGUCC